AGUGGAUGGGGAGCAACCUAGUUGUGCGUGUGUAAAGGUAGUGCCAAGAAAAGCGAUGAUCAUGUUGAAAAUCAAUUCCCGGUACCCGAAACCGACACAGGUGGGCAAGUAGAGAAUACUAAGGGGCGCGAGGUAACUCUCUCCAAGGAACUCGGCAAAAUGACCCCGUAACUUAGGGAGAAGGGGUGCCACCGAGAGGUGGUCGCAGUGAAGAGGCCCAGGCGACUGUUUAGCAAAAACAUAGGUCUCUGCAAACUCGAAAGAGGAGGUAUAGGGGCUGACGCCUGCCCAGUGCCAGAAGGUUAAAGAAGUUGGUCAGUUUUAGGAUGAAGCUAGCGACUGAAGCCCCGGUGAACGGCGGCCGUAACUAUAACGGUCCUAAGGUAGCGAAAUUCCUUGUCGGGUAAGUUCCGACCCGCACGAAAGGCGUAACGAUCUGGGCGCUGUCUCGGAGAGAGGCUCGGCGAAAUAGGAUUGUCUGUGAAGAUACGGACUACCUGCAUUUGGACAGAAAGACCCUAUGAAGCUUUACUAUAGCUUGGAAUUGUGUUCGGGCUUCCUGUGCGCAGGAUAGGUGGGAGGCGUAGAAGGUAUUCUUGUGGGGAUACUGGAGCCAACGGUGAGAUACCACUCUCAGGAGGCUAGAAUUCUAACUUAAUUAAGGACAGUUUCAGGUGGGUAGUUUGACUGGGGCGGUCGCCUCCAAAAAGGUAACGGAGGCGUACAAAGGUUCCCUCAGACUGGUUGGAAAUCAGUCGAAGAGUGCAAAGGCAGAAGGGAGCUUGACUGCGAGAAGUACAGUUCGAGCAGGGUGGAAACACGGUCUUAGUGAUCCGACGGUGCUGUGUGGAAGGGCCGUCGUUCAACGGAUAAAAGUUACUCUAGGAUAACAGGCUGAUCUCCCCCAAGAGUUCACAUCGACGGGGAGGUUUGGCACCUCGAUGUCGGCUCAUCGCAACCUGGGGCGGAAGUACGUCCCAAGGGUUGGGCUGUUCGCCCAUUAAAGCGGUACGUGAGCUGGGUUCAGAACGUCGUGAGACAGUUCGGUCCAUAUCCGAUGUAGGCGUGAGAAUAUUGAGAGGAGCCUUCCUUAGUACGAGAGGACCGGGAAGGACGCACCGCUGGUGUACCUGUUAUGAUGCCAAUUGUAAACGCAGGGUAGCCAAGUGCGGAGAGGAUAACCGCUGAAAGCAUCUAAGUGGGAAGCCCACCUCAAGAUGAGUAUUCUGGUGUAAGGUCACGGGAAGACGACCCGUAAAUAGGCACGAGGUGGAAGUGCAGAGAUGUAUGAAGCCGAAGUGUACUAAUAGACCGUCGGCUUGA
RNAcentral lists this ribosomal RNA (1323 nucleotides) under metagenome. RNAcentral's name for it is "bacterial LSU rRNA". It matches the Rfam family "Bacterial large subunit ribosomal RNA", at positions 1561 to 2925 of the family's 2925-position model. The record is from RNAcentral.